GGGGGUAUAGCUCGAGUUGUAGAGCGCACCUUUAGCAUGCAUGAAGCCCUGGGUUCAAUCCCCAGUAUUUCUU
This 73-nucleotide transfer RNA is filed under the name Camelus bactrianus (Bactrian camel). It matches the Rfam family "tRNA". Rfam says of the family: Transfer RNA (tRNA) molecules are approximately 80 nucleotides in length. Their secondary structure includes four short double-helical elements and three loops (D, anti-codon, and T loops). Lineage: Eukaryota; Metazoa; Chordata; Mammalia; Artiodactyla; Camelidae. The record is from Rfam by way of RNAcentral. RNAcentral also lists the same sequence under 2 other names.